CAGCUCCUUCUGCAACCGCCAACAUCACCCCUCUCACCCCGACAGGCUGAGGUAUCCCAUCCAGAUUUCGCUCCAGAUCAACCCAUCUUCCAGGAGACAGGGAAGGGAAAUGGCUGUUAUGGAGCCAGCUCAGAUGCCGGUGACCUUCGAGGAGGUGGCUGUGUAUUUCACCCAGGGGCAGGGGGCUCUGCUGGACCCUGCUCAGAGAGCCCUCUACAGGGAUAUCAUGCAGGAGAACUACGAGACGGUGACCUCGCUGGGUAAGGGGUUCCCAUCCCCUCAAUUAUUAGAAGCCGUGGGGCCUCCAUGUCUGAAUCUGGUCAGUUUCUUCCCUGGUCAGUUAGAUCAGAGGAGAAUGGGUUCCAUAAUGCACAGCUGCCAUGAGAGAGACUUGCAUCUCCGUGCCCUCUCCAGUGGGACAUGGGAGUCAAAACCCAAUGGACAAGCUAAACUAUCCCCACCCCUCCAACUUUCAAAGGGGUAGAAUUCAUUCAUUGUCCUGCCUGUAUUGAUUCCCAGUCGCACACAGAAUCCUUAUUUACCUCCCUCCUUGGGACUAGCUCCAGCUGUGGGGAGGACUCUAGCCUCUGCAGGUUUAGAAAUAGGCAGGGGUUUAACUCUACAGCUGGUUGUGAGUCAGCAAGGCCCCCAGAUUGCGCAGAUCCUGGGAACUCCUAGUUAGGAUGUAGCAAUUCCCCUCACCUCCCCAGACGUCUGCCUCUCACAACAGGGCUCAGCAAUCCUGUUCCCUUCCUCUUGGAUUCCAAAUUCCUCCAGCACAGCACCGGGACAUAGAAUGUCCUUUGAGAGACUGUGUGUCACAAUCCUUCAUGCAUCCUGAUUUGGUCUGAUUUCACCCCCUGUGCAGGAUUUCCCAUUCCCAAACCUGACCUGAUCUCCCAGCUGGAAUGAGGGGAGGAGCCAUGGGUCCUGGAUCUCCAGGCCUGUGAGGAAAGAAAGAUCCUGAGAGGCACCUGCACCGCAGGUGCUACGAGAGUGAGUGAGAAUGAGGAUGUUCCUGGGGAAGUGGAUGAAUCUAUUGUAUGUGGAGGAGGACACAAGGAUCCCACAGCCCAGCAGAGACAUCCCAGUGAAGAGAAACCCUAUCAGUGCCUCAAAUGUGGGAAAGAUCACAGCUUGUGACACAUCAGACAAUCCAUACUGGAGAGAAACCCCUUCAAUGCUUGGACCGUGGCAAAAGCUUCAAUAAUUGCUCAGACCUAAAUAACUAUGGGAGAAGCCACACAGGAGAGAAACCCCAUAAGUACUUGAACUGUGGGAAAAGUUUCACACAGAUAUCAGGCCUGGUUAAACAUGGGAGAAUCCACACAGAAGAGAGACCCCAUAAGUGCUUGGACUAUGGGAAAAGUUUCACACACAGAUCACACCUCACUAAACAUGAGAGAAUCCACACAGCAUCUAAACUUCUGUGAUCCAUAGCCAGAAAGGGUGAAGCAACUUGCAGGCUAAUUGAUCCAGAUUCAACCUUUAGAGCCAUGCUUUGUAAGUGUGUAAAUGGUAUUUAGGGCUGUUCCAUGUUCUAUAGGCUUGAGCUUUGAAAUGUAAACUUGUAUUCCUAAAGAAUUGGAAGAAGAUGGUAACUGUAGUAGUCUCUGUUUACCUAUAUCUUGUUAGAGGUUAACAAUAUAACCAAACGGUUCCUCUCUAGGGCUGUAUUCUGUUAAUGUGGAGAUCAAAAGGAAAAAUUAACAUUUAGAUAAAACUUGGGUGUAAUAAUGUCAUUGUCUGCAUGUCUCUGUAAAGUUUGUGGUAAACAGUUUAUGAACUGCUUAAUGGAUAAUCACCUUAUCUUAAUCCAUGUAGUUAAUUGCCGGUGAUGUUUAGGAAAUACAAGGUUACUUCAAAACCCUAUUGUUCAUCCCAGGACUGCGUGCUGUCAGGAGGCUGCAAAAUUCUAUAUAAAAGCUGUUGGGACCUGAUCCUUUUCUCUCAGAUCUUCUUAAGCUUUAUUCAGAGGGAGUUUCAGUCUUAAGACUGAGAUCUCCAGUCCCCUCUGGACUGCCCUGAUAUUGAACAUAUUGACAUUAGACUAGAACCUGAUGAAAUGAUUCUAAAAAGGACUCUUCAAUUCUAAAGCACCAUCUCUGCCGUGAAAUUGGCCUAAGGACUCUAUUCGUGUCUGUAUGUAUAACGAUCAAUACUCUUUCUUUUCUUCUUUUAAUACAUUUUACUUUUGUUAAUAAGAAUUGGCUGUAAGCAUGUAUAUGGGUAAGAACUGAAGUAUUCAUUAACUUCUUGGGUAAUGUCUCCGAUCCUUUGGGAUUAGUAGAACUUGUUAGAUGAUGAACAAGAUUUUCACUAAUCCGCAUUAUAUUUAACUGGGCUGUCUGGAAGGGAGCCCAAGGCUGGGUUGCUUUAAGGAAGGGGUAGUCAAUAGGCAGUCUGUGCGCCAAAUCUAGACAGCCAGAUGCUUUUAAACGGAACCCUGAAAAUUUAUUUAUCUAUUAUUAUUAUUAUUAUUUAUUAUUAUUACUGUUGUGGGUUUUUUUUAUUAUUUUCUCUGGAGAGUGGACCUUGUCUAUGCCUUGACAAAGAAAUUUUGACCUUGACAAAAAAGAAUUGAUGACCUGUGCUUUAAGGGAACUGUGUUUUGGCUUCUGGGAAACCAGUAAGAUAUGCAUAGAAGGUGUUUUAUUGCUGGCUUGGUGAAUCUAAGUAUUGGAAUAUCCACCAGUUUUGGGGAUUGUCUGCCCCAUUCUUUGCAGUUUGUCCUAACUGAUCAAGCUUAGCGUGCUCCCCCAACCCCUCUGGGAGCCUGC
Long non-coding RNA from Dermochelys coriacea (leatherback sea turtle), 2780 nucleotides. RefSeq lists it as uncharacterized. Lineage: Eukaryota; Metazoa; Chordata; Testudines; Dermochelyidae. The transcript is spliced from 3 exons. The record is from RefSeq and is a predicted model, not a curated record.